UAAUGUCACGUGUUUUAGGGAGCAAAGUACACACUACUCACAAACACGCUCACAGUUUGUGUUUAUUGGAUUUGUGUCCACAUAGUUUCCCCGAGAAAACAGUGGCAGCAAAUAAGACUAUGGCUGUUACCUACUCUCCGUGCUGUAUACUGUUUAGUACCUACUAUUCAGUAGGCACACACAGUAGGCAGAUAUUUGUUCCUACUUCGUCUGAUUCAUUCAGUAUGGAAGUGGCGUCAUUUACGUUACCCGAACCGGCCGCAUCCACCCGUUUUUUUUUUUGUUUAGCUUUAUUCAAGAAGAGUAAUGCGCAUAUACAGUCAGGCAAACAAAAAACAAUAUCACAAGUAAAAGACAGAUUAAAUAACA
Long non-coding RNA from Labrus mixtus (cuckoo wrasse), 369 nucleotides. RefSeq lists it as uncharacterized. The transcript has 2 exons. NCBI's taxonomy places the organism in Eukaryota, Metazoa, Chordata, Actinopteri, Labriformes, Labridae. The record is from RefSeq and is a predicted model, not a curated record.